Molecule: ribosomal RNA, 257 nt
Filed under: uncultured bacterium
Lineage: Bacteria
Description: partial 16S ribosomal RNA
Rfam family: Bacterial small subunit ribosomal RNA
Source: RNAcentral
UACGUAGGUGGCAAGCGUUUGUCCGGAUUUACUGGGCGUAAAGAGCGCGCAGGCGGUCGGAUAAGUCGAAUGUGAAAGCCCCCGGCUCAACUGGGGAGGGUCAUUCGAUACUGUUCGACUCGAAGGCAGGAGAGGGAAGUGGAAUUCCCGGUGUAGUGGUGGAAUGCGUAGAGAUCCCGGAGGGAACACCAGCGGCGAAGGCGGCAUCCUGGACUGGUACUGACGCUCAGGAGCGAAAAGCGUGGGGAGCGAUCCGG